Passer domesticus (house sparrow) is the source of this 729-nucleotide long non-coding RNA. RefSeq lists it as uncharacterized. NCBI's taxonomy places the organism in Eukaryota, Metazoa, Chordata, Aves, Passeriformes, Passeridae. The record is from RefSeq and is a predicted model, not a curated record. The transcript is spliced from 3 exons.
UCAAUUCCUUGCUAAAGCAGCCUUACCUAGAGCAGGUUUCACAAGAUCAUGUCCUGGUGGUUUUUUAAUAUCUCCAGAGAAGGUGACUUCACAAUCUUUCUGGACAGCCUGUUCCAGGGCUCUGUCACCCUUGCAUUCUGUUCGAAGCUGCUUCAUAUCUUGCAAAUCCAAGCCAAGUCAACAGCAGCCACAAGGAAUAGUCUUGGAAUGAUAAGCAAAGUAAGGAAAACUGGACUUUCCUUUAGAAGAGCAGGACUGUUGGACAAAUAGGUGGUCUUCCUCGCUGGUCUCGUCUGAUCUUCAUUGUGCAAGACCAAGAAAAUGCAGCUCACACCAUCCCACUGCCACUGCGAGAGAGUCCUACAGUUAAUAUGGGAUAAGUGAUGUUGUUCAGGGACUGAAAUAUGAUGACCUCUCUUCCUCAGAGCCCAUCAGAGAUGCAGCAUGACGCCUUCCUCUGCAUGUCUGCAUCAAGCAAGGACGGAGGGACCUAAAAACUUCAUACUGCCAGAAACUGACAGAGACACUGAGUCUAAUUAUCCCAAGUUCUUCAUUCCCUUUCACUUCAGUGAAAAUACAGAGAACCUGCCUUGAUUACAGUGGAUGGUGAGAGUAAGCAAUGCACAUUCAACAAGGAGCUUAAGAGGGGAAAAGUGAGGGGAAAUUGCUAUGUAUAGACAUCACAGCCAUUGAAAGACCUUUAACCUGUUUAUCUUCCCUUAAUAAAGU